UUUCUCCUCUCUCUCUCUCUCUCUCUCUCUCUCUCUCUCUCUAUAUUUCUAGUAACAAUUUCAUUGUCUCAUUUGAAGAAGCAGAUCCAUUGUCAUCUAGUUUCACGUUUCAUUUAUUUUUUCAGCUCCCUUUCUUCGUAAAUUUUGAUCUUGGCGUUCAUCAUAGAUUUGCAUUUUUGUGAAUUUACGUUUGUGUUUCGGAAUCUUUGAGCUUACUUUCUCGCUUAACGCCGGUUCCUUUGAUCUAAUUUGUUGCUCGAAUCUCUUGCGAGCCUUCAUUUUGAGGUAAUUUUCCAUAUUUAAAAUGUUUCUGUACAUUUUUCUUUGGAACAAAAUGUGUUUCUUCUGCAAUUUGCUUUGUAUUUGUUUGGUUGCUGAGAAACCUUCAAGGAAAAUGUAGGCGCAAAGGAAUCUGAUAACUUAUUAGUCAUUUGAAACCAAUUUCAAACUCUUAACGGUCAUUGGAUUCAAAGUUACUGGUUCUUAACCGAUAUUUCGCAAAAUCAAGCGCAGUGUCAUGGUUUAUAGUUAUGUCGUUGGAUUUAUUGCACUUCUUUUUGUUAUCGUUUUGCAGCGUUUACUUUCCUCAUCUGAUUUCCUUUUUAUUUCGUUAUCUUAGAUACUUGUUAGACGAAGAGUGGAGUUUGAUUGGAGGAAGAUGUGCAUUUGGCUUUCAGGUGAGACAUGAUUCUUCCUUUUCUUUAAGUUUCUUUCCUACUUGCUUUUGUUUGUUUUGUAUAGUGCUUAGUACAACUUACUUUAAAGCUUGUUGGGACUUCUUUGAAAAUUUUUAUUGAAUGCACUCAUUGUUAUUCCACAGGGAUGUGAAUGUAUGUCAGAUUGAACACGUUUUUGCCACAGUAUUUAACUUUUCAUUGGCUGAUAUUGCAUCAGAUUUGUACCACUAUCAUAUUAUAGUGCUUUAUUGCUGGAAAAUCAUCAUAGUUGUUCCUUCUGAGUUUCAUAAAUUAAUUCAUGGUUCAUUCAACAAGCAUAUCACUAAAAAUCACAUAAAAUAUUGUGAUGAACAUUAUGCUUGUCUGGAUAUAAUUAAUUUGCGAACAAUUAAAUAAGUCGUUUCUUAGGGAAGUUAUUAACUUUCAGCAUUUGUGGUUCAUCAUUAAGUAUUUAAUUCAAAAUUACCCGUGUUUCCUUAUUUUUAAAAAAUAGAAGAAAAGUGUGGAAUAAAUUUUUUGUGGUGCUUCUAUAGUGGGCAUCGUACAUUAUUUGUGCUUAAUUUUGAAUAUAGAAAUUUUAUUUACUUUAGUAUUUACUAACAUAUAUGUAAAGUAAUAAUCUAGCGGGCAACUUAUAGUGAGUGACAUUGCCACAUGGCUCUGUCCGGUUAAUCCACAUCUUCAGCACUCUUAAAGAGUUACGAAAUUGUACCACGUAUCUAGGUACUCACUAUGUGUAGGCGCUAAAUGCUCAUCAGAUCAUAUUCAUGCCCAGAUAUGUGUGUGUGUGUGUGUGUAUAUAGAUGGUGUGUGUGUAUCAUUUUCAUGCGCUAAAUGCUCACACACACACAUAUAUAUAUGUAUAUAUAGAUGGUGAGUUGUUAGAGAAUAGAACAAGUUGUAAUGAAUAAGACAAUGAUGCUUCUUCUUGUUGUUAAGUCUAUAUGUAUGCGUUCUUUAUGCAACUUCUAGGGCGUAUUAUCCAAAAUAUUAUUUUUCAAAUAGAACUAGAUCAAUCGUGCAAGCUACCUUGGGUUUAUAAUUACAAAAUUUUCAAACAAUGUGUAGUAGAAAGCAAAUGAAAGGUUCGAUUAGGCUUGGUAUUUGUGCCAUGAUGGAAAUGCUAUUAUGAUGAAAUAGUACUUUUCAUAAUGGUUUACCAUGCAUGUUGGAAUGAAACAAUAUAGAUAAGAGAUUAUGUAACAAUUUUUUGGUGAUCUAAAAAGACAUUUUGGUUUAGACUUUAGAUCAAUUUGUUGCAAUGAGUUUUGGACGUUAUGCAUGGUUGGCUUAGAGUUUGGCCAAAAGAUGAUAUUUUGGUGAGAGAGAAGGAAAAAUAAAAUAUAAAAACCCCUCUCCUAAUAACCUUUUGUAGAGAUGCAUGAUUUGGGAAUGUGAUCAAGUUUAAAAUUGAAGCUUUUAUUUGUGAAAUUUGAGAGCAUCAUUUAUGAAAAUUGAUUUGACAUUUUCAUAUACAACUGCUUCUUGGAACAUUGAAAAACAUUGUAGGAGAAGGUGUCGAUGGUAAUCCUUGUUAGGUUUCUCAGAUAUAAUACGGCGUUAGAGUGAACUCCUAACCUGAUGGUGUAGAAUAUUGAGCCUCAAAAGAAUAUAAGGCUUGAUGGGAAGAUUUUCACAUCCUUUAUCACUAUUGUACUAAAGAUGAGCACGGACAAAUAUAUAUGUUUUGGAUGAAAAAGGCUUGUUUGAAGUAUAAGGUAAAACAUGCAUGCCUGGAGAAAAAAGGAAGAAUAUUUUCUCGGUUGAAGUUUUGUCUUUACACAAUUGUAUUUUCAUUUAUGGUGACAUAUUUUACGGAUAAAAGCAUUUGAAAUUGAAAUGAUAGUUGUUCUCUUUCUUAAUCCACAUGUUUGGGUUAAUGCAGUAUUCAUAUACUUACCCUCUUACAGAGUUGAAAUUGAAAUUGAGAUGAUAGUCACAUUUUUAUAUUUGCGCUUAACAGCAAGGCAAUCUUUGGAGUAUUGGAGCAUGGGUGCAAGUUCAUGCACAAGAUGAACAUUACUAGUGCGAACUCCUAGGCAUGUAUAAAAGACUAAGGUUGACUUGAAUAGGCUCAAGGCCUUUUAGGUGCAUUGGCUUCGUUCUUAGUCAAAGCUUUCUUUGCCUGAUGCUUGUUGGGUUGAAGAGCUUGAAAUUAAAAUUGCAAAGAAAAGUCUAUUGAAAGUUGAUAAUAUCAUGCAUGGUAGGAGCCGGUCAUUAAAUGAGUCGGGUUUUCAGAAUUUUGUUUACUCAAUUGAAAUUUUCGUAUCAAUUGAGAAGCCAAGUUGAUUAUAGUGUCAUAUCCACGUCUAGUCUUGAAUGUUUAUGAUUUAAUAGAGUAUGGUAAAACAAAAUAAUUUAUGUUGGAAGCAUUGAGAGUGAGGAGUUUCAAAUUCUAAGAAGGAAAUACAUAGAAAUGAAUUUCAUUUUUAGUAAAUCUAUUCACUAUCAAUAAUCGUCCCAUAUUAGAUGUGGGCGUUAGAGGUAGAGCUGGCAAAAUUUGACAAUACCCAAUUACCUGACACGAAUACGACACGAAUAAAUGGGUAUGGGUCGUCAAAUUUGAUACGAUUAUUAAAUGGGUCGGUUCCGACUCAACACAAUUUUUUUCGGUGUCGGGUUAGGGUUAAAAUUCUUGACCCAUGUACCCAAACAAUGACAAUUAUAUUUUCUUUUUUAAAUUAGUUUCUAGGUUCUUGUCAUUAAAAAUCAAAUAUUGGACAUGAUUCUCUCUUUUUAUUUUUAUUUUUGGAAGGGUAGAUAUAUACACAGUGUUUUAUUUUUAAAAUUUUAUAUAGAUUUAGAACUUUAAUAGUGUAAAUAUACAAAAUAUUGGUACACAUGUAUACUUUAUGAUAUUGAUUUAUAGUAUUAUUUACAUAUAUAUAAUUAAAAACUAUAAUAGUGUAAAUGUGUAAUAUUUUGGGGUGUGUGUAUAUGUUGGGGGGUGUAUGUAUAACAUUUAUUAAAAAUAUAGCUAUUAAACGAGUUGUUAGGUAACACGCUUAUUUUUUUGUGUCAGGUUUGGGUCUCAAUAUUUUGACACGAUUAUUAAAUGGGUCGGGUUUAGAUCAAUCUGAAUUUGACACGACACGAACCCGACCUGACGACCUACUUUGCCAACUCUAGUUAGAGGAUUGAGAGGUUUAAAAAUGUCACUUUAUUAACUGACAUGGAAUGUGUAAAGAUAAGGUUGUUGAUGGAUGUUUACUUGUGAUAGUUUGGGUAUUGUUGCCAUGUUAGUGCUUGGAACAAUGUAAGAAAUAAGUGAAGUGAUGUCAUGAAGGAUAUAAUACUUUAGUGGGAGAC
This 3986-nucleotide long non-coding RNA is filed under the name Citrus maxima (pomelo). RNAcentral's name for it is "long non-coding RNA (CMAX_LNC001553)". The record is from RNAcentral. Lineage: Eukaryota; Viridiplantae; Streptophyta; Magnoliopsida; Sapindales; Rutaceae.